GAUGAACGCUGGCGGCGUGCCUAAUACAUGCAAGUCGAGCGAACGGACGAGAAGCUUGCUUCUCUGAUGUUAGCGGCGGACGGGUGAGUAACACGUGGAUAACCUACCUAUAAGACUGGGAUAACUUCGUGAAACCGGAUCUAAUACCGGAUAAUAUUUUGAACCGCAUGGUUCAAAAGUGAAAGACGGUCUUGCUGUCACUUAUAGAUGGAUCCGCGCUGCAUUAGCUAGUUGGUAAGGUAACGGCUUACCAAGGCAACGAUGCAUAGCCGACCUGAGAGGGUGAUCGGCCACACUGGAACUGAGACACGGUCCAGACUCCUACGGGAGGCAGCAGUAGGGAAUCUUCCGCAAUGGGCGAAAGCCUGACGGAGCAACGCCGCGUGAGUGAUGAAGGUCUUCGGAUCGUAAAACUCUGUUAUUAGGGAAGAACAUAUGUGUAAGUAACUGUGCACAUCUUGACGGUACCUAAUCAGAAAGCCACGGCUAACUACGUG
Molecule: ribosomal RNA, 497 nt
Filed under: uncultured bacterium
Lineage: Bacteria
Description: partial 16S ribosomal RNA
Rfam family: Bacterial small subunit ribosomal RNA
Source: RNAcentral